CUACGUGCCAGCAGCCGCGGUAAUACGUAUGUCACGAGCGUUAUCCGGAUUUAUUGGGCGUAAAGCGCGUCUAGGUGGUUAUGUAAGUCUGAUGUGAAAAUGCAGGGCUCAACUCUGUAUUGCGUUGGAAACUGCAUGACUAGAGUACUGGAGAGGUAAGCGGAACUACAAGUGUAGAGGUGAAAUUCGUAGAUAUUUGUAGGAAUGCCGAUGGGGAAGCCAGCUUACUGGACAGAUACUGACGCUAAAGCGCGAAAGCGUGGGUAGCAAACAGGAUUAGAUACCCUGGUAGUCCACGCCGUAAACGAUGUCAAUUAGCUGUUGGGCAACUUGAUUGCUUAGUAGCGUAGCUAACGCGUGAAAUUGACCGCCUGGGGAGUACGGUCGCAAGAUUAAAACUCAAAGGAAUUGACGGGGACCCGCACAAGCGGUGGAUGAUGUGGAUUAAUUCGAUGCAACGCGAAGAACCUUACCUGGUCUUGACAUCCACGGAACUUUUCAGAGA
This 505-nucleotide ribosomal RNA is filed under the name uncultured bacterium. Its description in RNAcentral is "bacterial SSU rRNA". It matches the Rfam family "Bacterial small subunit ribosomal RNA", at positions 501 to 1006 of the family's 1533-position model. The record is from RNAcentral.